This 257-nucleotide ribosomal RNA is filed under the name uncultured bacterium. RNAcentral describes it as "partial 16S ribosomal RNA". It matches the Rfam family "Bacterial small subunit ribosomal RNA", at positions 524 to 776 of the family's 1533-position model. The record is from RNAcentral.
UACGUAGGGGGCAAGCGUUAUCCGGAAUCAUUGGGCGUAAAGCGUACCGAUAGGUGGUCUAAAAAGUCAGAAGUGAAAUCUCAAGGCUCAACUUUGAGACUGUCUUUUGAAACUUUUAGACUAGAGGGGCAAAGAGGAAGCUGGAACGAACGGUGUAGUAGUGAAAUGCGUUGAUAUCGUUCGGAACACCAAUAGCGAAGGCGGGCUUCUGGGUGCCACCUGACACUGCUAGGACGAAAGCGUGGGGAGCGAAUGGG